UGCCGCCCUGCGGCGGCGUUUCGGUUGGUGUCCGCUCAAAGCGGACGGUGUGCCGCGGAAGCGGCGGAGGGGUCUUAGCCCUCGACGGUGA
RNAcentral lists this transfer RNA (91 nucleotides) under Arthrobacter saudimassiliensis. RNAcentral's name for it is "tRNA-Leu". Lineage: Bacteria; Bacillati; Actinomycetota; Actinomycetes; Micrococcales; Micrococcaceae. The record is from RNAcentral.